This 497-nucleotide ribosomal RNA is filed under the name uncultured bacterium. RNAcentral describes it as "partial 16S ribosomal RNA". It matches the Rfam family "Bacterial small subunit ribosomal RNA", at positions 28 to 507 of the family's 1533-position model. The record is from RNAcentral.
GAUGAACGCUGGCGGCGUGCCUAAUACAUGCAAGUCGAGCGAACGGACGAUAAGCGUGCUUCUCUGAUGUUAGCGGCGGGCGGGUGAGUAACACGUGGAUAACCUACCUAUAUGACUGGGAUAACUUCGGGAAACCGGAGCUAAUACCGGAUAAUAUUUUGAACCGCAUGGUUCAAAAGUGAAAGACGGUCUUGCUGUCACUUAUAGAUGGAUCCGCGUUGCAUUAGCUAGUUGGUAAGGUAACGGCUUACCAAGGCAACGAUGCAUAGCCGACCUGAGAGGGUGAUCGGCCACACUGGAACUGAGACACGGUCCAGACUCCUACGGGAGGCAGCAGUAGGGAAUCUUCCGCAAUGGGCGAAAGCCUGACGGAGCAACGCCGCGUGAGUGAUGAAGGUCUUCGGAUCGUAAAACUCUGUUAUUAGGGAAGAACAUAUGUGUAAGUAACUGUGCACAUCUUGACGGUACCUAAAGAGAAAGCCACGGCUAACUACGUG